This 72-nucleotide transfer RNA is filed under the name Ictidomys tridecemlineatus (thirteen-lined ground squirrel). RNAcentral describes it as "Spermophilus tridecemlineatus (thirteen-lined ground squirrel) tRNA". It matches the Rfam family "tRNA". Rfam says of the family: Transfer RNA (tRNA) molecules are approximately 80 nucleotides in length. The record is from Rfam by way of RNAcentral. Lineage: Eukaryota; Metazoa; Chordata; Mammalia; Rodentia; Sciuridae.
GGGAGUGUAACUCAGUGGUAGAGUGCUUGCCUAGUGCAUGCAAGGCCCUGGGUUCCAGCCCUAGCACUGCUA